AAACUUGUUUUCCAAUAUAUUGUCUUCUUUGACAUUUGUACUCCUUAUUUUUUAAUUGAGUUGUUUCUUUGGAAAAUAUUGAGUAAUGUACUUAGAUUCUGUAUAAUAUAAGUACAAUCCUUCCUGAUGGCAACAAAUUUUUUCUUACUUAAUAAGAAGUUUGAAACAUACCGCAUCAAUUUGUAUAUCUUCUACUUCCAAAUGUAUGUAUUGAAGAUAUAUUGAUAUUGCCAUUGAAUUAUAGUAAUGUUGAAGCUCACUUAUUUGACUCUCAGAUUGAAAUUCAAAAAGUCAAUUAUCAUACUUCAUAGUAAAGUCAAUUGCUUGACUUAAUGUUUGAGGAUCAUAUAAGUUGAGCAUCAAUUUUUUUUACCUUAUAUAGUAAUCCAUAGAAAAAUUGGCUAAUAAAUGCAGUAUCAUUCUACUUGAUAUCAAUUGUAAAUUGUUGAAAUUGUGAAGCAUGUAAUGUUACAGAAUGAUUGCUUUGUCAUAAAAUAAAAAUAUUAUUGGUUACAAGAUGAGUUGUAUCAUAUUCUUUAUAUAUGGAU
RNAcentral lists this long non-coding RNA (548 nucleotides) under Physcomitrium patens. RNAcentral describes it as "long non-coding RNA (PPAT_LNC010228)". The record is from RNAcentral. Lineage: Eukaryota; Viridiplantae; Streptophyta; Bryopsida; Funariales; Funariaceae.